RNAcentral lists this ribosomal RNA (483 nucleotides) under Serratia marcescens. RNAcentral describes it as "bacterial SSU rRNA". It matches the Rfam family "Bacterial small subunit ribosomal RNA", at positions 270 to 745 of the family's 1533-position model. The record is from RNAcentral. Lineage: Bacteria; Pseudomonadati; Pseudomonadota; Gammaproteobacteria; Enterobacterales; Yersiniaceae.
UAGGCGAAGAUCCCUAGCUGGUCUGAGAGGAUGACCAGGCACACUGGAACUGAGACACGGUCCAGACUCCUACGGGAGGCAGCAGUGGGGAAUAUUGCACAAUGGGCGCAAGCCUGAUGCAGCCAUGCCGCGUGUGUGAAGAAGGCCUUCGGGUUGUAAAGCACUUUCAGCGAGGAGGAAGGUGGUGAACUUAAUACGUUCAUCAAUUGACGUUACUCGCAGAAGAAGCACCGGCUAACUCCGUGCCAGCAGCCGCGGUAAUACGGAGGGUGCAAGCGUUAAUCGGAAUUACUGGGCGUAAAGCGCACGCAGGCGGUUUGUUAAGUCAGAUGUGAAAUCCCCGGGCUCAACCUGGGAACUGCAUUUGAAACUGGCAAGCUAGAGUCUCGUAGAGGGGGGUAGAAUUCCAGGUGUAGCGGUGAAAUGCGUAGAGAUCUGGAGGAAUACCGGUGGCGAAGGCGGCCCCCUGGACGAAGACUGACG